GACGAACGCUGGCGGCGUGCUUAACACAUGCAAGUCGAACGGAAAGGCCCUGCUUUUGUGGGGUGCUCGAGUGGCGAACGGGUGAGUAACACGUGAGUAACCUGCCCUUGACUUUGGGAUAACUUCAGGAAACUGGGGCUAAUACCGGAUAGGAGCUCCUGCUGCAUGGUGGGGGUUGGAAAGUUUCGGCGGUUGGGGAUGGACUCGCGGCUUAUCAGCUUGUUGGUGGGGUAGUGGCUUACCAAGGCUUUGACGGGUAGCCGGCCUGAGAGGGUGACCGGGGACAUGAGGACUGAGAUAGGGCCCAGACUCGUACGGGAGGCAGCAGGGGGGAAUAUUGCACAGUGGGCGGGAGCCUGAUGAAGCGACGCCGCGGGCGGGAUGACGGCCUUCGGGGUGUAAACCGCUUUCGCCUGUGACGAAGCGUGAGUGACGGUAAUGGGUGAAGAAGCACCGGCUAACUACGUG
RNAcentral lists this ribosomal RNA (468 nucleotides) under uncultured bacterium. Its description in RNAcentral is "partial 16S ribosomal RNA". It matches the Rfam family "Bacterial small subunit ribosomal RNA", at positions 28 to 507 of the family's 1533-position model. The record is from RNAcentral.